Long non-coding RNA from Amphiprion ocellaris (clown anemonefish), 4476 nucleotides. RefSeq lists it as uncharacterized. The transcript is spliced from 4 exons. Lineage: Eukaryota; Metazoa; Chordata; Actinopteri; Pomacentridae. The record is from RefSeq and is a predicted model, not a curated record.
UUUGAUUUUCAUUUUAUAUUUAGAAUAACAAAAAAAUAAAAUCAGUAAGAGACAGAAACGAAAAAAGGUCAGUUUUUUUCAUUUUCUGAGACCGGAAGUGGUCAUCAGCAAGUGUGGAGCCAAACGACAACAAGAUUCUCAGAGGGCGGAGCCAGAGAGCAGUGAUUGGUCAGAUCAUAGAUAAUAUAGAAGACAGCGAGCUAGCGUCUCUAGUCUGCUAUAUGUAUCUAUGGUUAGCACGUCUGGUAGCAUCUCUGGCUGCUGUUGACCUUGUUUUUGGAGUAAAACACGGUGGAAGCUGAAUUAGUGAGGAUGACUCCUGCUCCUGUCAUCUCUAAGCUCCUCACACAUCUUUACCUGCACAUGAGGAAAAUCACUCCUGUAGAAUGCAGUGGUUCAUCAGAACCUCUGGGGAUGUCCUGUGGAUUCUGUGGAUCCUGUGGGUUGCAGGGUGGGUCCUACCUAGACCAGGCUGAUCCUGGACCAUCCCACAGAUGCUCAAUCAGAUCUGGAUGUGGGGAGUGUGGAACCCAGAUGUUCAGAGGGAGAUGAUGCCACAUCUGGUCCAGCUGAUGGAAGGUCUUGAAGUUCUCUGACUGGCCUCGACUGAAGAUGGUCGUCUCACUGGAUUUAAGGUUCAGAUGCUCAGUAACAAACUCCACCAAUGAGCCAACAGGGAAGCUUUAGGUUUAUUAAAUGUUGCUAUGAAGGUAUCACUGUUUUUCUUUGUGAAUGCAAUGUGCUCCAACUGAAACUUGAAUUAGAACUUAGAAGUAAAUCCUUCCAUCUGAAAGGAUCUAGUUGCAUUAAUAACCUCAUAACAUUCUAAUUUUUAUUCCAGUCUUGGUUGGAAAUAGAAUCUCUGUAUUGAUUCAGGUAAAAACUGAACUUCACAGCAUGUUGGAGCAAAACAACCAGAUGAAAACUGUGAUGGUGUUGGAUUGUCAGACCGUAAUGUUGCAGCUCAAAGCAGCUUUUCUAUCUCAGUUCAUUCUGACAUUCAGCUAUGAAUCAACACAGCAGAUGGUGAUCCAUGCUGUGGAAGUCUCACAUCUCCUGAUUUAAUGGAGCUGCUUUGCACUUUUUACACUGUUUAUUCACCAACACUUUAUUUAAUAAAAGUCCCAUCUAGUUUUUAUGAGGAAUGUGAUGUUUUAAUUUCUCUGUGAAUAACUGCAGUCUAAUGCAACAGCUGGAGUUGUAACAUCUGUCCUGAUAUUGAUCAUGAAGUAUUGAUCAGAAUACUUAUGGUUAGCAGUCAUCCCUGAAGUUUUACAUUAAAAUCUUUACUUGUGUUGUGAACUUUGGUAAGAAGCAGAAAUGUUAGCGUUGCCAUGGAUACAUGAGUGUUAAAUUCUGUCCAUGUUUCCAUUUUGGGAAAUGCAGUCCAGUUCCAGAAUGUGGAGGAAUUUAGUCUCACAAUCACAGACAACAAAUAUUAUCUGAAAGUCGGGUUAUUGUUGUUUAUCAGCACAAUACAAAAAGAUUAAUGUUAGAAAUAUUCCAGUUAAGACUCUAGAAUAUCAUGAUUUAUGUAAAUUUACCUCAAUAAUAUGAAUGUUCAGGUUAAGAUUGUACAGUGAUAUUUAUUAUGUAAGUUUAGCUGAUUAAAGUUUAUGACUGCACUAAAAUAUUAUUUAAAUUGACAUCAUUAUUAUAAUAUUUAGGGUCAGACCCUACAGUAUUGAGAUUAAGAAAUCAAAUAUUCUAUAAAAUGUAAAUACACUGAACUCAUUUGGAUAUAUUUAAGUGAGACUCUACAAUAUUAUUUGACACAAAUCUAUCUAAAUCAAAAUUUUAAUAAUUUUCACACCAAACAUUUACUGGACUGAUUUAAAUAUUAAAAUCACUCCUUUCUAAUCCUCUGCUGUACGUUCAAACCUGAGGCCUUAAAUAGAAACACACAAGUAUCUGAUUGAAGGAACUUCUGCAGAGUCCUGGUUCCAGAACAUGAUGAUAGAAUUAUAGACAAACUUUAACAAAAGCUGCCUGAGAGUUUACAGGUUUUUAUGUUAGAUUUCUUCAGUAAUUUAAUGAGAGUUAUCAGCAAUAAUCAAGUGUUCAUUUGAUGAACUUCAUUUCCUAAAACAUCCAGAAUUGGAGCUCAUAUCUUUGGCAGCUGUAAAGUUUCUGCUCCUUCAAAGUUCACAACACAAUGAAUGAAUUCCUAAAACACUCUCAAUGCUGGAGAGCGUUUGUGAUGCUGAAGCAGUGAGCAGUUUUUCUGUUUCUUCUCUGGAGAUGCACAAUGAGGGACGUCUGCAGAGACUGAGAAAGAGUCUCACCACAUCCUGACAUGAGGAAAAAGACUUUAUUGAAGACUACAAUGAGAAAAACUAUCAGACAGCAGACGGCUGCAUUCAAGGUGAACUCUGAACAUUUGAUCUGGAACAGGAAUUCAAUAACGGCAGCAUGAGCUUCAUUUCAGUCUGUAGCUGCUGAAUUCAUGGAUGAAUCAUCUGGCACUAGAGAGGAAGACCAUCAAACAUCCACGUCAGCUGAUGGAGGUCCAAGAGUCUCACCAAACAAACAACCUACAGAGUGAAGACCUCCAAUCUGAUUGGACGGCCUCCUAUUCAGCCACAUGUGUGAACAAAUGCCUCUAAGCUGAUUUGUUUUCUAAAAUAAAUCUAGUUUGAGUCCUAAUCUAUGCCUGUGUGUUUGCUUCUUUACACCGCUGUUAACAGUUUAGGCUGUUAGAUUGUUCCAGAUAAGACAAGUACAAGAUACUUCAGAGCCGUUCUACCACGAGCCUGACAGGAAGAACUCCAACAGCUACUGAAUGUUCCUGUGGUUCCCUCAAGGCUACAGGAGGAGCCCUACGAGGACGAGCCGGUCCACCUGAUGGCGGCCAGUCGCUGCGGUUCAAAGCCAACACCGACUACGUGGACUUCUACUGGACCACACGGAGGCCUUCAAACCGGACCAACAAGUUCAGCGACUCCCCGACUCGUGGGUCUGAGGACGCCGCCGAGCCUCGGUCCAGCCGGCCUCCUGUCUGUGGGUGUUUGAGUGCUGAGAGGUUUGUGGAUGCAUGUGAACGUUCUGUGUUGAAACAGCAGCUUUGGACUCAGUAACGCCGGGAAAAACCAAGAGCUCCUUUAUUUGUGACUUCCACUAAAAAAACUGAUGAAAAUAAGUUUGCCAGGGUUCUGACUGAUAACAGAUUAUUAAAUAAUGAAAAUAAUCAGUUUAAAUAUUCCUUUAAACAAUCCUUUUAGGUCUACAUUUCCUUUACACUGACUUCUUGGUAUAUGUACAAGUAUUUUGGGUGGAAUAUACCAUUAAGCCUGAUGUUCAAGGGUUCUUCUGGGAAUAUACCAUUAAACCAACCUUUUAGGUAAAUGUUCCAGGAUGUUGGGUAGAAUAUACCAUCAGAUCAACCUUUUAGGUCUACAUUGGAAGAUUUUAGAGUAGAAUAUUACUCCAAACCAUCCUUUAGGUCUACAUUUAAGGUGGAAUACUCCUUUACACCAAGAUUUUUUGGUCUACAUUGAAGGAUUUUAGGUGGAAUAUUCCUUUGAACGAACUUUUUAAGUUUAUGUUCAAGGAUGUUGGGUGGAAUAUACCAUCAGACCAACCUCCAAGGUCUACAGUAGUGAAUUUUAGGUGGAAUAUACCAUUAAACUCACCUUUUAGGUCUACAUUGGAGGAUUUUAGGUGGAAUUUUCUUCCAAACCGUCUUUUAGUCUACAUUUAAGGAUGUUUAGGAUGGUAUAUUCUUCCAAACCAACUUCUCAGGUCUACAUUUCAGGUGGAAUAUUCCUCCAUACUAACUUUUUUGGUCUACAUUGAAGGAUUUUUUCUAAACCACCCUUUCGGGUCUAUAUUUGAGGUUUUAGGUGGAAUAUUCCUUUUAACCAGCCCCUCAGGUCUCUUUGAGGAUUUUGGAUGGAAUACUCGGUUAAACCAACAUUUUAGGUGCAUGUCCAAGGAUUUUUGGUGGAAUGUUCCUUUAAGGUGGAUGUUUGAGGACCUUGUAGGUGGAAUACUUCCUGAAACCAACCUUUUAGGUCAACAUUCAAAGAUUUAAGGUGGAAUAUUCCUUUAAACCAACCUAAAUUUCAUGUUUUGAUCAUUAUCAAGUGAGAAACCUCAAUCCAGACUCCUCAUAAUGACGUUUGAGAUUUAUGCUGCUGUUAUUUGUUUAGUCCAGACUAAAUGACAGAAAUCCACAACUGUAAUUUUAUUUCAGGACUCGGUUAUUAAAUGUCAAAACAAUCCAUGUGACUCUAAAAACUCAACAGCUUUACAAACUCUAAGAUUAAACUCUCCACAAGGAUCCAAAAUAAGUUGGACUUCUACAUGAGAGCUUUAAUUAUUCUUCAUCUACUUCCUGAAAAGUUUGGUCAAUAAAAAAGACAAAAACUAAUAUUUUCAGCUGAACUAAAGACAGACUUUGUGAUUUUUCUGCUCACAUGUUGUGUUGUUGUAAACUUCCUCUUUCAAAUAAAUAUCCUCCUAACCCCCUGGAAA